Molecule: long non-coding RNA, 711 nt
Filed under: Marmota monax (woodchuck)
Lineage: Eukaryota; Metazoa; Chordata; Mammalia; Rodentia; Sciuridae
Source: RNAcentral
GUCCCAUACUGUGUUGAUUACUUUAGCUUUGUAAUGUAUGCUGGAAUUAGAAAGAAUGUUGCCUCUGGCUUUGUUCUUGGGCAGAAUUGCCUUGGCUACCUAGGGUAUUUUGUGGUUCCAUACAAGUUUCAGGCUUUUCCUCCAUUUCUGUUAAAAAAUGCUUUUGGGCUUUUGAUAUGGAUUGCUUUGCAACUGUACUUUGAACAGUAGGGACAUUUUAACACUAUUUAAUUUUCCAAUCCAUAAGCAUGGGUUGCUUUUCCAUUUGUUUGUAUCUUUUAAAUUUUCUUCAUCAGUUAUUUUAAUAUUUGGUGCACUAACUUAACUUUGGUUACCAAAGUCAACUCCUAGUUGUUUUAUCCUUUUGGUUACUAUGUACAUGAUAUUAUCUUCCUAAUAUCCCUUUUGGACAGUUAAUUCUUGGUGUAUAGAAAUGCUACUGGUUUUUGUAUGGUGAUUUUGCAUCCUGAAAUUUUAUUGAAUUUGUUAAAUAUUUCCAGCCUUUUUUUGGUAGAGUCUUAGGGUUGUCUACAUAUAAUAUCACCUGUAAAUAGAUUUGGAUGCCUUUUAUUUCUUUUUCUUGCCUGAUUGCUCUGGCUAGUACUUCUAAUAUUAUUUUGAAUAGCAGUGAUGAGAGUGGACAUCCUUGUCUUCCUUCAGAUUUUAGAGGAAAAGCUUUUGUUUUCCCCCACUUAACAUGGCAUGAUAUGU